UUGCUUCGGCAGCACAUACACUAAAAUCGGAACGAUACAGAGAUUAGCAUGACCCCUGUGUAAAGAUGACAUGCAAAUUUGUGAAGCAUUCCAAAUUUUU
Molecule: small nuclear RNA, 100 nt
Filed under: Sciurus vulgaris (Eurasian red squirrel)
Lineage: Eukaryota; Metazoa; Chordata; Mammalia; Rodentia; Sciuridae
Source: RNAcentral